GAUGAACGCUGGCGGCGUGCCUAAUACAUGCAAGUCGAGCGAACGGACGAGAAGCUUGCUUCUCUGAUGUUAGCGGCGGACGGGUGAGUAACACGUGGAUAACCUACCUAUAAGACUGGGAUAACUUCGGGAAACCGGAGCUAAUACCGGAUAAUAUUUUGAACCGCAUGGUUCAAAAGUGAAAGACGGUCUUGCUGUCACUUAUAGAUGGAUCCGCGCUACAUUAGCUAGUUGGUAAGGUAACGGCUUACCAAGGCAACGAUGCAUAGCCGACCUGAGAGGGUGAUCGGCCACACUGGAACUGAGACACGGUCCAGACUCCUACGGGAGGCAGCAGUAGGGAAUCUUCCGCAAUGGGCGAAAGCCUGACGGAGCAACGCCGCGUGAGUGAUGAUGGUCUUCGGAUCGUAAAACUCUGUUAUUAGGGAAGAACAUAUGUGUAAGUAACUGUGCACAUCUUGACGGUACCUAAUCAGAAAGCCACGGCUAACUACGUG
This 497-nucleotide ribosomal RNA is filed under the name uncultured bacterium. RNAcentral describes it as "partial 16S ribosomal RNA". It matches the Rfam family "Bacterial small subunit ribosomal RNA", at positions 28 to 507 of the family's 1533-position model. The record is from RNAcentral.